RNAcentral lists this ribosomal RNA (504 nucleotides) under uncultured bacterium. Its description in RNAcentral is "partial 16S ribosomal RNA". It matches the Rfam family "Bacterial small subunit ribosomal RNA", at positions 29 to 523 of the family's 1533-position model. The record is from RNAcentral.
AUUGAACGCUGGCGGCAGGCCUGACACAUGCAAGUCGAACGGUAGCACAGAGAGCUUGCUCUCGGGUGACGAGCGGCGGACGGGUGAGUAACGUCUGGGAAACUGCCCGAUGGAGGGGGAUAACUACUGGAAACGGUAGCUAAUACCGCAUAACGUCGCAAGACCAAAGUGGGGGACCUUCGGGCCUCACACCAUCGGAUGUGCCCAGAUGGGAUUAGCUAGUAGGUGGGGUAAUGGCUCACCUAGGCGACGAUCCCUAGCUGGUCUGAGAGGAUGACCAGCCACACAGGAGCUGGAACACGGUCCAGACUCGUACGGGAGGCAGCAGUGGGGAAUAUUGCACAAUGGGCGCAAGCCUGAUGCAGCCAUGCCGCGUGUAUGAAGAAGGCCUUCGGGUUGUAAAGUACUUUCAGCGGGGAGGAAGGCGGUGAAGUUAAUAGCUUCACCGAUUGACGUUACCCGCAGAAGAAGCACCGGCUAACUCCGUGCCAGCCGCCGCCGUAA